UGGCGAACGGGUGAGUAACGCGUGAGGAACCUGCCUCAAAGAGGGGGACGACAGUUGGAAACGACUGCUAAUACCGCAUAAGCCCACGACCCGGCAUCGGGUAGAGGGAAAAGGAGCAAUCCGCUUUGAGAUGGCCUCGCGUCCGAUUAGCUAGUUGGUGAGGUAACGGCCUACCAAAGCGACGAUCGGUAGCCGGACUGAGAGGUUGAACGGCCACAUUGGGACUGAGACACGGCCCAG
This 240-nucleotide ribosomal RNA is filed under the name uncultured bacterium. RNAcentral describes it as "partial 16S ribosomal RNA". It matches the Rfam family "Bacterial small subunit ribosomal RNA", at positions 96 to 334 of the family's 1533-position model. The record is from RNAcentral.